Panicum virgatum (switchgrass) is the source of this 1374-nucleotide long non-coding RNA. RefSeq lists it as uncharacterized. The record is from RefSeq and is a predicted model, not a curated record. Lineage: Eukaryota; Viridiplantae; Streptophyta; Magnoliopsida; Poales; Poaceae. The transcript has 7 exons.
AACCACAACGGCGCAAACUCCCCGAAAGGCCAGCACCUCCCAAAUCCCAUCCCAAUCAUAACGAGAUCACCGGAACAACCCAAACCCCCAAAGGGGACAACUCACCCGUUCGGCCGUUCCCCCGAUUCCCAAAGAUCCACCCCCGCAGCGAACUCAAUCCGAAGCGAUUCGAUUCCCCGCAUCGGCCCGUUGCUGCUCCAAUUGCUUCGUGUGAUCAGUGGCUUCGUGCUUCUCUCUCUCUCUCUCUCUCUCUCUCUCUCUCUCUCUCUCCUCUGCCUGUUCUGGCCAGCGCGUCGCGGUUGAAGGUCGGGGUGGUCGGGCGGGAGCGCGAUGGCUGCGCCGCCGGCGAGGGCUCGCGCCGACUACGACUACCUCAUCAAGCUGCUCCUCAUCGGCGACAGAGCGGUGUUGGCAAGAGUUGCCUCCGACUGCGGUUGUUGUCUGAUGGUUCCUUCACCACUAGUUUCAUUACUACAAUUGGCAUUGAUUUUAAGAUAAGAACGGUUGAACUGGACGACAAGUGUGUUAAAUUGCAAAUUUGGUAUACAACUGGUCAAGAGCGGUUUAGGACUAUUACUCAGUUUCCUUUUAUCUCAGCAUACGUACUACCGAGGAGCCAUGGGUAUCUUGCUUGUUUAUGAUGUCACUAAUGAGCCAUCUUUCAACAAGAUAUACGAAACUGGAUCUGCAAUAUUGAACAGCAUGCGUCUGAUAAUGUAAAUAAAGUAUUGGUAGGCAACAAGGCUGAAAUGGAUGAGAGUAAAAGGGCUGUUCCUACUGCUAAGGGGCAAGCACUAGCCGAUGACUAUUUCAUCAAGUUUUUCAGGACUGUAAAUUCCUAUGCUGUGUUGUUUUGUUGUUUCACUGACGAACUUAUUCUGAUUUUAUUUCGUACUGUAUUUUUCAGAGUGCCAAGACUAACCUCAAUGUGGAGCAAGUUUUCUUCUCCAUUGCCCGAGACAUUAAGCAGACUUUCUGAAUCUGAUUCCAAGCCUGAGGAUCGGGUAGUCAAUAUUAGAAAAGAUCAAGGUGCCGAGGCUUCGUCUCAGAAAUCUGCUUGCUGUGGCACAUGAGCAAUGCUUUGUCUUCAUUAUCCUAAACUAUUUUGGCUAUGUUUUCUUACCUUUUUACUUGAUAUUGUAGGAAAAAUGUCAAGAAAAUAAUCGUGAUGUCUUUAUUCUGUUACUUGUUUUCAGUCUGUGCAACGAUUGCUCGUCUUUUUAGUUUACUGUCGCAGCCUCUCUUUUGGGUUGCUGCUGGUGUUUUUUUUUGGAGGGGGGUGGGGGUGGCAUUUUUGUUGAAAUCAAUCGGCACACCUACUUUUGCAACACUGUGUAAUCAAAUUUAAAUAAUUCUAUCUUCUGGUUUACAGGU